UUACGACCAUAUCAGGUUAAAACAUUGGUUCUCGUAUGGUCAAGGAGGUUAAGCAACGUCGAACCUGGUAAGUACGUAAAUGGGCGACCGCUUGGGAAUACUAGGUGCUGUAAG
Molecule: non-coding RNA, 114 nt
Organism: Acanthosepion pharaonis
Lineage: Eukaryota; Metazoa; Mollusca; Cephalopoda; Sepiida; Sepiidae
Source: the annotation of a GenBank genome assembly